RNAcentral lists this transfer RNA (65 nucleotides) under Colasposoma dauricum. Its description in RNAcentral is "tRNA-Asp". It matches the Rfam family "tRNA". From Rfam's summary of the family: Transfer RNA (tRNA) molecules are approximately 80 nucleotides in length. Lineage: Eukaryota; Metazoa; Arthropoda; Insecta; Coleoptera; Chrysomelidae. The record is from RNAcentral.
AAGAAUUUAGUUAAACAUAUAACAUUAGAUUGUCAAACUAAAAUUAUUUUUCCAAAUAAUUCUUA